This 1288-nucleotide ribosomal RNA is filed under the name Salmonella enterica. RNAcentral describes it as "partial 23S ribosomal RNA". It matches the Rfam family "Bacterial large subunit ribosomal RNA", at positions 711 to 1895 of the family's 2925-position model. Lineage: Bacteria; Pseudomonadati; Pseudomonadota; Gammaproteobacteria; Enterobacterales; Enterobacteriaceae. RNAcentral also lists the same sequence under 2 other names. The record is from RNAcentral.
AGACCCGAAACCCGGUGAUCUAGCCAUGGGCAGGUUGAAGGUUGGGUAACACUAACUGGAGGACCGAACCGACUAAUGUUGAAAAAUUAGCGGAUGACCUGUGGCUGGGGGUGAAAGGCCAAUCAAACCGGGAGAUAGCUGGUUCUCCCCGAAAGCUAUUUAGGUAGCGCCUCGUGAAUUCAUCUCCGGGGGUAGAGCACUGUUUCGGCUAGGGGGCCAUCCCGGCUUACCAACCCGAUGCAAACUGCGAAUACCGGAGAAUGUUAUCACGGGAGACACACGGCGGGUGCUAACGUCCGUCGUGAAGAGGGAAACAACCCAGACCGCCAGCUAAGGUCCCAAAGUCAUGGUUAAGUGGGAAACGAUGUGGGAAGGCCCAGACAGCCAGGAUGUUGGCUUAGAAGCAGCCAUCAUUUAAAGAAAGCGUAAUAGCUCACUGGUCGAGUCGGCCUGCGCGGAAGAUGUAACGGGGCUAAACCAUGCACCGAAGCUGCGGCAGCGAACGUAUCACCCAAGACAACUUUACGGAGUUGACGAUUGACGGAGCGAAGCGACGUCAAAGCGUUCAUUAAAGUCGAGUUGGCUUAGGGAUACGUUCGUUGGGUAGGGGAGCGUUCUGUAAGCCUGUGAAGGUGUGUCGUGAGGCAUGCUGGAGGUAUCAGAAGUGCGAAUGCUGACAUAAGUAACGAUAAAGCGGGUGAAAAGCCCGCUCGCCGGAAGACCAAGGGUUCCUGUCCAACGUUAAUCGGGGCAGGGUGAGUCGACCCCUAAGGCGAGGCCGAAAGGCGUAGUCGAUGGGAAACGGGUUAAUAUUCCCGUACUUGGUGUUACUGCGAAGGGGGGACGGAGAAGGCUAUGUUGGCCGGGCGACGGUUGUCCCGGUUUAAGCGUGUAGGUGUGUGUUCCAGGUAAAUCCGGUUCACUUUAACACUGAGGCGUGAUGACGAGGCACUACGGUGCUGAAGCAACAAAUGCCCUGCUUCCAGGAAAAGCCUCUAAGCAUCAGGUAACAUCAAAUCGUACCCCAAACCGACACAGGUGGUCAGGUAGAGAAUACCAAGGCGCUUGAGAGAACUCGGGUGAAGGAACUAGGCAAAAUGGUGCCGUAACUUCGGGAGAAGGCACGCUGACACGUAGGUGAAGUGAUUUACUCACGGAGCUGAAGUCAGUCGAAGAUACCAGCUGGCUGCAACUGUUUAUUAAAAACACAGCACUGUGCAAACACGAAAGUGGACGUAUACGGUGUGACGCCUGCCCGGUGCCGGAAGGUUAAUUGAUGGGGUCAGCG